CAGACUAUACUUUCAGGGAUAAUUUCUAUAGUUCUUGUCUCGAGAAAUGUUGUUCUAAAGUGUUUGGUCUAGCAAACCAUGAUGAAUCUGACCCUACUCCCUUUAAGUCCCUUUAAGUCAGUUGAAUUAUUGGG
Gadus morhua (Atlantic cod) is the source of this 134-nucleotide small nucleolar RNA. Its record names the gene U3. It matches the Rfam family "Small nucleolar RNA U3". From Rfam's summary of the family: Small nucleolar RNAs (snoRNAs) are involved in the processing and modification of rRNA in the nucleolus. There are two main classes of snoRNAs: the box C/D class, and the box H/ACA class. U3 snoRNA is a member of the box C/D class. The record is from Ensembl. Lineage: Eukaryota; Metazoa; Chordata; Actinopteri; Gadiformes; Gadidae.